This 408-nucleotide ribosomal RNA is filed under the name uncultured bacterium. RNAcentral's name for it is "partial 16S ribosomal RNA". It matches the Rfam family "Bacterial small subunit ribosomal RNA", at positions 28 to 526 of the family's 1533-position model. The record is from RNAcentral.
GACGAACGCUGGCGGCGUGCUUAACACAUGCAAGUCGAACGAAGUGGCGAACGGGUGAGUAAUACGUGAGUAACCUGCCCUCCUUUUUGGGCUAAGCCUUGGAAACGGGGUCUAAUACCGAAUAAAGGGGGAUGGGCUCGCGGCCUAUCAGCUUGUUGGUGGGGUGAUGGCCUACCAAGGAGGUGACGGGUAGCCGGCCUGAGAGGGUGACCGGCAAUAUAUGGACUGAGAGACGGCCCGGACGACGAGUGGAGGCAGCAGUGGGGGAUAUUGCACAAUGGGCGAAAGCCUGAUGCAGCGACGCCGAGUGGGGGAUGAAGGCUUUCGGGUUGUAAACCGCUUUCAGCCAUGACGCGGUAGUGGCAGAAGAAGCACCGGCUAACUACGUGCCAGCAGCCGCGGUAAUAC